Molecule: long non-coding RNA, 265 nt
Filed under: Homo sapiens (human)
Lineage: Eukaryota; Metazoa; Chordata; Mammalia; Primates; Hominidae
Description: long non-coding RNA NONHSAT160857
Source: RNAcentral
UGGAGAAGGCAAUCUGAGAUGCUGCUGGUUCCAAGGCUUUAGAAGAAGAGAGAGAGGAUUUUCCCUUGCAUUCUUAAUCCAGUUUUAUCAUUAAUGAUACUAACAUUUUGAUCCAGUUGGAUCUUUAUUUCUAUUCAUCAAUAUUUGGUACACAGAGACGAGGAAGUGGGCAGAAAGGUGACUGAUUAGGCUCCCUCAGCGUACGUUAUCACAUCAUUCUAUUCCCAGGUUGCUAUGGUGCUUCCUAUAAUCCAAGUUGCUUAUA